Molecule: ribosomal RNA, 481 nt
Filed under: uncultured Bacteroidota bacterium
Lineage: Bacteria; Pseudomonadati; Bacteroidota
Description: bacterial SSU rRNA
Rfam family: Bacterial small subunit ribosomal RNA
Source: RNAcentral
GGAAUUUCCAGGGAAUUCGUGGGGCGUUUUGACGGUACUGUACGAAUAAUGAUCGGCUAACUCCGUGCCAGCAGCCGCGGUAAUACGGAGGAUCCAAGCGUUAUCCGGAAUCAUUGGGUUUAAAGGGUCCGUAGGCGGUUUUUUAAGUCAGAGGUGAAAUCCUGCAGCUCAACUGUAGCAUUGCCUUUGAUACUGAAAGACUUGAGUUAUUGUGAAGUAGUUAGAAUGUGUAGUGUAGCGGUGAAAUGCAUAGAUAUUACACAGAAUACCGAUUGCGAAGGCAGAUUACUAACAAUAUACUGACGCUGAGGGACGAAAGCGUGGGUAGCGAACAGGAUUAGAUACCCUGGUAGUCCACGCCGUAAACGAUGGAUACUAGCUGUUCGACCAACAUUGGUUGGUUGAGUGGCUAAGCGAAAGUGAUAAGUAUCCCACCUGGGGAGUACGCUCGCGAGAGUGAAACUCAAAGGAAUUUGACGGA